UGGGGAAUUUUUCACAAUGGGGGAAACCCUGAUGCAGCGACGCCGCGUGAUUUAGAAGGCCUUCGGGUUGUAAAAAUCUUUUGUAUGGGAAGAAAAUGACAGUACCAUACGAAUAAGGACCGGCUAAUUACGUGCCAGCAGCCGCGGUAAUACGUAAGGUCCGAGCGUUGUCCGGAAUCAUUGGGCGUAAAGGGUACGUAGGCGGAUAAGCAAGUUAGAAGUGAAAUCCUAUAGCUCAACUAUAGUAAGCUUUUAAAACUGCUCAUCUUGAGGUAUGGAAGGGAAAGUGGAAUUCCUAGUGUAGCGGUGAAAUGCGCAGAUAUUAGGAGGAAUACCGGUGGCGAAGGCGACUUUCUGGCCAUAUGCUGACGCUGGGGUACGAAAGCGUGGGUGACAAACAGG
Molecule: ribosomal RNA, 402 nt
Filed under: Verrucomicrobiota bacterium
Lineage: Bacteria; Pseudomonadati; Verrucomicrobiota
Description: Verrucomicrobia bacterium partial 16S ribosomal RNA
Rfam family: Bacterial small subunit ribosomal RNA
Source: RNAcentral